UUUAUAACUGAACCAUCAUUAGCGACAAGUUUUCACUAUUAACCACCAUCAACCCCCACGUUAAUUUAGAGGAUGCACCAUGAUGAUCAGAAUCAUGAUUAAGAUUACUUAUCCAACAAUCAGAGACCUGUAUUGUGACCAUCAACUCAAACUAGUCACACGGCUUCAAAAACGAUCACAAGCUCAUCACAAUUUACCCAUUAAUCCAUCACUCGCCCUCCAUAAAAAGGCAGCUACCUUAAGUACAUCUUAUGUGUUCUAAUCUAAAGCUCGGUUUCAGCUCCCCUCAAAGCAAAUUAGCACACUAUUAAGCAGAUAACGCUCAUCUACCGAAUUCAUAUGAACCCUUGCAGUUAUUCCAAUAAUUUCC
RNAcentral lists this long non-coding RNA (370 nucleotides) under Hordeum vulgare. RNAcentral describes it as "long non-coding RNA (HVUL_LNC003811)". Lineage: Eukaryota; Viridiplantae; Streptophyta; Magnoliopsida; Poales; Poaceae. The record is from RNAcentral.